RNAcentral lists this ribosomal RNA (386 nucleotides) under uncultured bacterium. RNAcentral describes it as "bacterial SSU rRNA". It matches the Rfam family "Bacterial small subunit ribosomal RNA", at positions 30 to 414 of the family's 1533-position model. The record is from RNAcentral.
AUUGAACGCUGGCGGCAUGCCUUACACAUGCAAGUCGAACGGCAGCACGGGAGCUUGCUCCUGGUGGCGAGUGGCGAACGGGUGAGUAAUACAUCGGAACGUACCCUGAAGUGGGGGAUAACGUAGCGAAAGUUACGCUAAUACCGCAUAUUCUGUGAGCAGGAAAGAGGGGGAUCGCAAGACCUCUUGCUUUAGGAGCGGCCGAUGUCGGAUUAGCUAGUUGGUGAGGUAAAGGCUCACCAAGGCGACGACCCGUAGCGGGUCUGAGAGGAUGAUCCGCCACACUGGGACUGAGACACGGCCCAGACUCCUACGGGAGGCAGCAGUGGGGAAUUUUGGACAAUGGGCGCAAGCCUGAUCCAGCCAUGCCGCGUGAGUGAAGAAGG